This 494-nucleotide unclassified non-coding RNA is filed under the name Hevea brasiliensis (rubber tree). Lineage: Eukaryota; Viridiplantae; Streptophyta; Magnoliopsida; Malpighiales; Euphorbiaceae. The record is from RNAcentral.
GCUGCCUGAUCGCGGCUUCUUAUCAUAGUUUGUGAAGAUGGGCUCGAAAGGAAAGCCUACUAGUUUUCCAUGGAAAGUGUAAUCACAUAUAUGCCUAUUAAGGUGAUCAAUUGAUGAUGUCUGGCCAUGAUAAGAGAGGGAACUCUCCUGGUUCUAUGAAAAGAUGUGGUUCCUAACUCCUAUAAUCCGAACCAGUACCCAUCCUUCCAGGACGUGAUAUCGGCAGCUCAGCACCAUCUCGAGGACUUUCCAUUAGCUCAAGAGAGCUCCACCAUGCAGCACCCUCAACCAUUCAACUGGAAAUGCAUUGGUCCCCUCCGCAAGCUCACGCUAUCAAAUUCAAUUGUGAUGCAGCAGUGCCCAAACGAGGAAACAUGGGGCUGUGGUGGGCAUAUGCCGAGACCACCUGAGGUUUUCCCUAGGUUGGUUCUGCAAGCGCGUUCCAGCAAUCACUAGCCCGCUAAUUUUAGACUGUCUUGCAAGCGAGGAAGCUG